RNAcentral lists this transfer RNA (87 nucleotides) under Parcubacteria group bacterium ADurb.Bin192. Its description in RNAcentral is "tRNA-Ser". It matches the Rfam family "tRNA". From Rfam's summary of the family: Transfer RNA (tRNA) molecules are approximately 80 nucleotides in length. RNAcentral also lists the same sequence under 1 other name. The record is from RNAcentral.
GGGCGAGUGGCGGAACUGGUAGACGCACUGGCUUCAGGAGCCAGCGGCCGCAAGGCCAUGAGGGUUCAAGUCCCUCCUCGCCCACCA